Molecule: ribosomal RNA, 253 nt
Filed under: uncultured bacterium
Lineage: Bacteria
Description: partial 16S ribosomal RNA
Rfam family: Bacterial small subunit ribosomal RNA
Source: RNAcentral
AACGUAGGAGGCGAGCGUUAUCCGGAUUCACUGGGCGUAAAGCGCGUGCAGGCGGUUCGGUAAAUUUGGGGUGAAAUCUCCUGGCUUAACUAGGAGAGGAUGUCCAAAACUACCGGGCUAGAGAGUGGUAGAGGAAGAUGGAAUUUCCGGUGUAGUGGUGAAAUGCGUAGAUAUCGGGAGGAACACCAGUGGCGAAAGCGAUCUUCUGGACCAUUUCUGUCGCUCAGACGCGAAAGCUAGGGUAGUAAACGGG